Molecule: ribosomal RNA, 221 nt
Filed under: Ballonema sp. MCZ DNA106903
Lineage: Eukaryota; Metazoa; Arthropoda; Chilopoda; Scutigeromorpha; Scutigeridae
Description: partial small subunit ribosomal RNA
Source: RNAcentral
UGUAGAUCAGCUUGUAUAUCGUUGUCGGAGAUUAUUUUAUAAGAAAUUUUUCAACAUUAAAUAGGUUUAUUGAUGUCAAAUCAAGGUGCAGUUUAUGUUUAGGGUUGAGAUGGGUUACAAUAUAGGAAUAUAAACGGAUAUGAGUUUGUAAUGCUUAUGUAAGGUGGAUUUAAUUGCAAUAUAAAAUUAUUUAUUUUAUAUGGAAAAGUACUAAUAUAUGC